Molecule: non-coding RNA, 118 nt
Filed under: Stenotrophomonas maltophilia D457
Lineage: Bacteria; Pseudomonadati; Pseudomonadota; Gammaproteobacteria; Lysobacterales; Lysobacteraceae
Source: RNAcentral
AUCGGCGCCAGAAGGGGAGUAGCUCCCAGACGUUGUCGCCGUCAUUUCGAGCCCGCAGGCUCCGGUGCAACGGCAGUUCCAGCCGACUGGAACUGCGAGCGAGACCUUCGCCGUACUG